CUCUGUGUCUCUUGCUGCAGUAGGCUGUUGCUAGUAGACCUAUCGACAGAGCUGGUUCUCACUCUCUCCCUCUGAGCUGUGUGACGCAGCUCAAAAUUCUCCAGGCUGCUCCUUGUGUUUUAACAGCAGAACUGCAGCUUUCCCCUAGAGAGCCGAUGCUAGCAGUACCAGGGCCAGACAAACUAAGACAGAAAGUCGCUCCCCAGUUAAGCACCCAAGUUAUUUAUAUCUCCCUGUUCUCCCCUCACCUUGGCUUCUCUGCUUCAUUUCCACUCUUCCCUCACGUUUUGCAUCAUCAGCUUCUCGUGGCUCUGCCACUGCUACACUUGCUCAGUUAACUCUUUUAGGAGUGGCAGUUACAGGUUCCACUCUUGAACAACAGAACUGGAAACAAAGUUGUUUGCUUUUGAGUGGGUGCAGGAGAUAUGACCCAAGCAAAUACAACUGCGCUCAAAACAGAGGACACUUUCCAAGCAGCCAUGCAAUAUCUGAAUUAAUCCCUUUAAAGGACAGAGAACACUCAUCAGUUCCAAGAAAACAGUUGCUUUCCUCCGGGACUGGACACACUCUCCACUAAUCCUUUGAGCUCUGCAGGACUAGGCAGCAGCAAAGGGGUUCCCUACAAAAUGUUACUAAGGGUGUGGGCAACGUUCCCUGAACCUCGGGCAACGAAUUAAUCCCUUCUCUACCCCUGGUGAGUAAAUGUCAAGAAGCUGCAAGUAGGAAAAAAGACAAGCUUCUGAACAGGAGAAACCAGUAUUGUUCAAGAUAUUUCCAUAAAGAUUUGCUAAGAACAAAGAACACAGAGUGCCUCCUACCAUGGAAGUUCACUUGACAAUAUAAGUGGAGGUAGUGGGGUUUGCACUGGUGGCACAGAAAUAGCCAUUCUCUGUUUGGCACCCUGCACUUCAUGAGUCAUGGAAGAAACGCAUAAGAAAAAAAAGCUCUAGAGGCAAGCGUAUAUUGUAUGUUAGGAACGUAAAGAAAUGCAAGGUGGUUGUGUUGCUAUUAACAAUCUGAAGAUUAUAUAUAAUUUAUUCUUAUACUGUUUAUAGUUUGGUAAAGUGUAGUACAAACACAAGUAUGUUUAUUCAGAUUCCAGUUUGAAUGUGGCGUCUUGGGGUUAUUCCCCAGUAAACAUGGUCAGUUUUUUUUCCUAGCACAGAAUGACAAUUGCAAGAAACAAGAAUUCAGAAAAAAAACAUAGCAUGCAGUGGGCUUCUAUAUCCCUUUUUUAUCCUGUCAUUGUGGGAGGAAUUGAUAAUUCUUCAUAUCUGUCAUAUGAACAUCCAACUAUCUCUACAACAUACAGAAGGAACUCUUGUUUUGAAAUCCAUUUUCUAUUAGAAAUGUAAGAGAAGUUAAAUAUAUCAUCAAUUAUUCACCUCAAGUAAACGAAUAUUCUCACAUAUACACAUUUUUAAAUACUGAAUCCCCAUAUAGCAUGUAAAUGCACUGGGCAACUGACAUAAAUUAAUCUUUUUUUAAAAAAAAUCAGGUAAAAUUAGAGAAAACAAUGUUACCCAAAAUCUGAGCAAAACCAUUAGCCCAGUAAAAUUUGCGCAUCCCUGGAUUAAAAUGUUGAACUAUCAUAAAGGCAAAGAUACAUUUCGAAUACUCUAUCACAAAAUAAUCAUUUUAAUACCACUUGAAUCAAUAGAUGGAACAGCACAGAACAGAUUUGAUAUGAGUUCUGGUAACUUUGUCAGCAGCUUCAGAAUCUACUGUAAUAAAACUGCAAAUGUCAAGACUCCUCAAAUUCCCACUUUAAAGAAUCCUUUUUGAGAAGCAUCACUCUUCUUUCACUAUUUGUUCGUUCACUAUUCGUUUGUACACUAUUCACCACUAUUGCAAACUCUUCUUUCUCCUUCUUCUUUCCAUUACUUACAUGGAAAAUCAUGGGUCAGUUGUCUUCUGCAAAAUAUGCAAGAAUAUAAACAGUUUUUAUCUACCUAAUUGGAGCACUGAGAUUUUUUUGUUCUAUAUAGAUGAAAACAUCAACAUUAACAGAUCACACCCAAGAUAUUACAGAAAUAAGAAUGUAUCAAAGUUUGUUACACUCAAUUCAACUUUCCAAUACAAAUAUACUGUGAGAUUCCUUAAUAUUCUGUUACUUAAAAGUGACAUGAAAGUUUUUUAAAAGGGAGAGAAAGGAAGUUCAAAGGAAACAGGAAGUCCGUGCUGCAGCAGAUAGAGUUAAGAGAGUUAUGUAAUCUCUUUACUGGGACAUGGAUAGGACAGCACACUGCUUGCUGAUUAACUAAAAAUAGAAUAAUCCCAAUUACAGCAACACUUCAACUUUUUCCUAAGUUUCAUGUUUCAUGAGCUUACAGAGAACUCAUGAAUGGAGAGGGUGGGGAGAAAAAGACAGCAGACCAAACAACAAGAAACCUUUUUAUUUUUCUUCUAACUUAGAGAACAUAAAUAUCAAUAAAAUCUUCUUUUCUACUCUAAUUUUCUGGGCUGUUGUAUUUCAGAUCUGAAUAGGCUAAGUUCCAGAUUAUUUGCUUUAAGAUCCUGACAAUUAUAACAAUU
Molecule: long non-coding RNA, 2535 nt
Organism: Protobothrops mucrosquamatus (brown spotted pit viper)
Lineage: Eukaryota; Metazoa; Chordata; Lepidosauria; Squamata; Viperidae
Exons: 3
Source: RefSeq, a predicted model, not a curated record